Molecule: long non-coding RNA, 1660 nt
Organism: Cyprinus carpio carpio
Lineage: Eukaryota; Metazoa; Chordata; Actinopteri; Cypriniformes; Cyprinidae
Source: Ensembl
CUUCGCCCUGUCUCCAUCCUGGUUCCUGAGUCCGCACCGCCAGUAUGUCCGGACAAGAUGGCUGUCGCACCGCCCGUGUCUACGGACAAGAUGGCUGCCACACCGCCCGUGUCUAUGGACAAGAUGGCUAACCUGCCUAAGCCCUCAGCCGAGAUGGCUGCCACGCCUGAGCCCUCAGCCGAGAUGGCUGCCACGCCUGAGCCCUCAGCCGAGAUGGCUGCCACGCCUGAGCCCUCAGCCGAGAUGGCUGCCACACCUGAGCCCUCAUCCAAAAUGGCUACCACGCCUGAACUCGCAGAGACUGCAGCGCUGGUCAUCAUGGCCACAGCCAUUUUGUAUAUGUGGGCUAUGCACACAUCGGCUCCAGUUCCUGAGACUGUUCCAGUCCAUGAAUCCGCCCCAGAGCCGGUUCCAGCCCUUAAAUCCACUUCUGAGUCUACUCCAGUCCUUGAGUGUGUUCCAUUCAUUAAAACCAUUCUAGAGCCUACUCCAGUCUUCAAAUCCACUUCAAACAAUAAAUCUACUUCAGUGACAGCUCCUAUCCUUGAAUCAGCUUCAGAGCCCGCUUCUGCCCAGAAAUCCAGUCUUAUGGCCUAUAAACUAUCUGUCUGCCCUGAAAUGACCACAGAGGUCGUCCCUGAGUUCCCUGUCUGCCUUGAUAUGACCACGGAGGUCAUUCCUGAGUUUUCUGUCACGGCAAUGGAGGCCGUUUGGGAACUCUCGAACUGCCUCAUCACGGCCACGGAGGCCACCAUUAACCUGUUUAUGUUCUCUGUUUCAGUCCUACCUGACCAGACUUGCUCUCCUGUGCCAUCGACUAGACUGUGGUGGUCCUCUGCUCCACCCUGGUGGGAUUCUGUCUCGUCUGCUCGGCUGUGGGGGUCCUCUGCGCCGCCCCGGUGGGCUCCAGUUCCGCCUGCGCCACCCCGGUGGGCUCCAGUUCCACCUGCUCCACCCUGGAUUCCUGCUCUGUCGGCACUGCCACUUCCACGUGGACCUGGCCCUCCAUCCCUCCCCCUGUUCCACCUCCGCUCCACCUCCCACCUGAACUUUGGACUGUUUUUAGUUAGGAGCGUCUGGAAGCCACUCCUUAAGGGGGGGGGCUAUGUCAUGAUCACAAGUGAGAGUGCCCGUCAUGGCCACCAGAGGGCACUCCAAACUGGACUUCACAUAUCCAUUGAACUCCAUUUCCCAUUCACCCUGCACCUGCCACUCUUCCUACAACCACAUACACACACAGUGACUAUUGCACUACAUUUCCCACAAGCCCCAUCCUUGGACUCUGAUUACUCUCCAGCUGCAGCUCAUUGGAUUUUAGUAUUUAAGCUGCUAGCUUUCUUGUGUUCAGGGCGAGGUCUUGUUGUACUACGGUUACACUUCUGAGCAUUUUCUAUUGUCUGUCUGUUGCUUAUUUUGUCUGUUCCCUGGUUUACGAUUACUGCUGCAUGCCUUCUGGACUAUAUUGCUUGUUUCUUGGACUGUGAUUCUCAGCUUGAUACCCUGACAUUCUGCCUGUGUACCGAUUAUGAUUCUGCCUGUUCUUCCCUGUUGUGUUUGCUGUCAUUGACCCCUGCCUGUACGACCACGAUGUUUCUUAUUAAAAGCUUGCAAGUGGAUCUAACGUCUUGUGAUUACCCCAGCGUAACAAUUUAAUCCUAAU